Molecule: long non-coding RNA, 1002 nt
Organism: Beta vulgaris subsp. vulgaris (sugar beet)
Lineage: Eukaryota; Viridiplantae; Streptophyta; Magnoliopsida; Caryophyllales; Amaranthaceae
Exons: 2
Source: RefSeq, a predicted model, not a curated record
UAUGCGUCGCACGUGCCUUAGGUGCGUUGCAAAAGCCCAAUUUGUGUCGGAUCCCCUGGCCCAUCCGACGCAAAUCGUCUCAUCUUUGAAAAAAACCUUUCACACUAUCUGCGUCUCACCUCUAUAAGGGGCGUUGCAAAAGGGUGAUCUGCGUCGGACCCAUAGGCCCAUCCGAUGCAAAUCACGUGGGUUAUUUACUUUUUGGAGCCCCAACAAACUGAAAUUAGUACACCAUAUAAAAAGCCCAUUUACAUUUGCCUUGGUCUCAGCCGUUUCCUCUUCAUCUUCUCUCUCUCCAUCUCUAACCUAGAUCUCUCUCAAUCUCUCUCACCAUACUCUCUCUCUCACCAUACUCUCUCUCUCUCCCCCCUCUCCGUCUCUCUCAAUCUCAAAUGGCGAUUAUGGCAAAAACUGAACAACAACACCGGCACGAUCUGAAGAACAACGAAGACCUCUCUCACUUCAUCAAUUGAAUUUCUGUUUGUCGAUUUUUUGGAGACGAACAACAACACCAGCCGUUAUUUUGAAGACCCCCGUCGAGUUUUGAAGCACAACAUCUCUCGGUACUCUUUCACUUCAUCAAUUGAAUUUAUGUUUGUCGAUUUUUUGGUGGUGAAGAUUUGAUGAUUUCGCCGGGAAGAUCCCGUGGUUGCUGCAGACCCACUCACUAAAGAGGAUCUUGUCAAUUAUCUUGCGUCUGGAUGCAAACCUAAACAGAAAUGGAGAAUAGAAAAGAAAUAUGAACAGAUUGUUGAGCUGCUCAAUGAUCUCGAAGCCUUGUUCUCGAAGCCAUGUUCUCGAAGCCUUCUUCCUCUUCAAGCUCAUCGGAAACAUCAAGUUUAUUUCUCAUGAUUCUAGAUUCAGUUUUGGUUUUACAUCUUUUUUUUACUGCAAAAUGUAAUUUAUUUGUAUUUAUUUAACAUAUUUUUUUCUCUCAUUCGAUUAGUUUGUAAUACAUUUUUUUAUAGUAACAGUAAUAAAUUAUGUGCAGAAUCAAAACAA